This 393-nucleotide transfer RNA is filed under the name bacterium HTCC8047. RNAcentral's name for it is "partial 16S-23S ribosomal RNA intergenic spacer". The stretch from base 101 to 174 matches the Rfam family "tRNA". The record is from RNAcentral.
UCUAAGGAUGAAUGAAAGUAAAAUUUCAUUCUAAAUAAUAUACAUCGGUAAUGUUGACCGUCCUCAUUUCUCUUCUUAAAGUAGUGUUUCUCUUGCAUGGGGGCCGGUAGCUCAGUUGGUUAGAGCACACCCUUGAUAAGGGUGGGGUCGAAAGUUCGAGUCUUUCUCGGCCCACCAAUAUAAGAUCAUGGGGGAUUAGCUCAGCUGGGAGAGCGCCUGAUUUGCAUUCAGGAGGUCAGCGGUUCGAUCCCGCUAUCCUCCACCAAAAACACUUAGCUAUAAUAAAUUGUAAAUAAAAAUAAUAAUUAAUAUCAAUAUCUAUAUCCGAACAUUAGUAAUGUUAUUAGCUAAUGUUCAAAAUAAAAAUUUGAUUCAACACAGAAUUUUUUUCUG